Molecule: ribosomal RNA, 506 nt
Filed under: uncultured bacterium
Lineage: Bacteria
Description: partial 16S ribosomal RNA
Rfam family: Bacterial small subunit ribosomal RNA
Source: RNAcentral
AGUGAACGCUGGCGGUAGGCCUAACACAUGCAAGUCGAACGGCAGCACAGGAGAGCUUGCUCUCUGGGUGGCGAGUGGCGGACGGGUGAGGAAUACAUCGGAAUCUACUCUGUCGUGGGGGAUAACGUAGGGAAACUUACGCUCAUACCGCAUACGACCUACGGGUGACAGCAGGGGACCCUCGGGCCUUGCGCGAUUGAAUGAGCCGAUGUCGGAUUAGCUAGUUGGCGGGGUAAAGGCCCACCAAGGCGACGAGCCGUAGCUGGUCUGAGAGGAUGAUCAGCCACACUGGAACUGAGACACGGUCCAGACUCCUACGGGAGGCAGCAGUGGGGAAUAUUGGACAAUGGGCGCAAGCCUGAUCCAGCCAUACCGCGUGGGUGAAGAAGGCCUUCGGGUUGUAAAGCCCUUUUGUUGGGAAAGAAAUCCAGCUGGCUAAUACCCGGUUGGGAUGACGGUACCCAAAGAAUAAGCACCGGCUAACUUCGUGCCAGCAGCCGCGGUAA